UGACACCAGAGCGUGUAAACAUGUUAAUGUUUCUUAACAAAAAUCAGCAGUAGAGUUGAAAUUCUAAUCAGACUUUUUGUGUUUUUGGAUGGCUCAGGGAUAUUUAUGUAAAAAGUUGAACAAAAAAGUGGGGGAGUACUUGUGGCACCUUAGAGACUAACAAAUUUAUUUG
This is a long non-coding RNA of Dermochelys coriacea (leatherback sea turtle), 172 nucleotides long. RefSeq lists it as uncharacterized. The record is from RefSeq and is a predicted model, not a curated record. Lineage: Eukaryota; Metazoa; Chordata; Testudines; Dermochelyidae. The transcript has 3 exons.